This 253-nucleotide ribosomal RNA is filed under the name uncultured bacterium. RNAcentral's name for it is "partial 16S ribosomal RNA". It matches the Rfam family "Bacterial small subunit ribosomal RNA", at positions 524 to 776 of the family's 1533-position model. The record is from RNAcentral.
AACGUAGGGGACAAGCGUUAUCCGGAUUUACUGGGCGUAAAGCGCCCGUAGGCGGCCUACUAAGUCAGACGUGAAAUCCCCCGGCUUAACCUGGGAACUGCGUCUGAUACUGGAAGGCUUGAGGAUGGGAGAGGGAUGUAGAAUUCCAGGUGUAGCGGUGAAAUGCGUAGAUAUCUGGAGGAAUACCGGUGGCGAAGGCGGCAUCCUGGACCAUUACUGACGCUGAGGCGCGAAAGCUAGGGGAGCAAACGGG